RNAcentral lists this ribosomal RNA (119 nucleotides) under Aegilops tauschii subsp. strangulata. The record is from RNAcentral. Lineage: Eukaryota; Viridiplantae; Streptophyta; Magnoliopsida; Poales; Poaceae.
GUAUGCGAUCAUACCAGCACUAAAGCACCGGAUCCCAUCAGAACUCCGAAGUUAAGCGUGCUUCGGCGAGAGUAGUACUAGGAUGGGUGACCUCCUGGGAAGUCCUCGUGUUGCAUUCC